RNAcentral lists this ribosomal RNA (468 nucleotides) under uncultured bacterium. RNAcentral's name for it is "partial 16S ribosomal RNA". It matches the Rfam family "Bacterial small subunit ribosomal RNA", at positions 28 to 507 of the family's 1533-position model. The record is from RNAcentral.
GACGAACGCUGGCGGCGUGCUUAACACAUGCAAGUCGAACGGAAAGGCCCUGCUUUUGUGGGGUGCUCGAGUGGCGAACGGGUGAGUAACACGUGAGUAACCUGCCCUUGACUUUGGGAUGACUUCAGGAAACUGGGGCUAAUACCGGAUAGGAGCUCCUGCUGCAUGGUGGGGGUUGGAAAGUUUCGGCGGUUGGGGAUGGACUCGCGGCUUAUCAGCUUGUUGGUGGGGUAGUGGCUUACCAAGGCUUUGACGGGUAGCCGGCCUGAGAGGGUGACCGGCCACAUUGGGACUGAGAUACGGCCCAGACUCCUACGGGAGGCAGCAGUGGGGAAUAUUGCACAAUGGGCGGAAGCCUGAUGCAGCAACGCCGCGUGCGGGAUGACGGCCCUCGGGUUGUAAACCGCUUUCGCCUGUGACGAAGCGUGAGUGACGGUAAUGGGUAAAGAAGCACCGGCUAACUACGUG